Long non-coding RNA from Rhinopithecus roxellana (golden snub-nosed monkey), 1993 nucleotides. RefSeq lists it as uncharacterized. NCBI's taxonomy places the organism in Eukaryota, Metazoa, Chordata, Mammalia, Primates, Cercopithecidae. The record is from RefSeq and is a predicted model, not a curated record. The transcript is spliced from 3 exons.
CUUUGGAGAAUAGGAUGGUUCUGACCAGAGCUGAGCAUAUGCCUCUCUGCUCUAGCUAUGGUGAAGCCUGACCCUGGAUGUCGGCCUGGCAUCUAGGAGCAGUGGUGAGGGCCGGUCUUGAGAACAAACACCUUGCAGGACCCCUGCCACAGGAAGCACCACCCAGUGCCUUGCUCUCCGGCUGCACCCAUCAUAACUGACCACAGGUGAAAACUGCAAUAAUCAUAAUGCCACUGUGUGAUGAGCAGUCACCAGCGGUCAGCAAACUUUUUCUGUAAAAGGACAGACAAGACCAGGCACACACCAGCCUGGAAAAACUGCUCCAGACCGGCAGUGCCUGGAGGAACCAAGCUGAAGAUGCCGCCCAUGAGGAGGGCCCUGCCUGCCAUGAACCAUUCAGCACUUUCUGAGUCCAGAGUGUGGCAGGGAUUCUCUGCAUUCUCAUCAACCACAUGAGCCCAGAAAGCUUUUCCAGAGUGGCUGCAGCCUCGGUGGGGAUGCCUGGGUUUAUGCUCAAGGUCUCAGGGAACACCCCCGGGGCCGCCACACUGUGGUCAUCAAGCACCCACUGCGAGAAGUGCCCAGGAAUGUCUGCCCAUGUCCAUGGUCACAGGGCACAUGACUGACUCUGCAGCAGGGGUGCUGUGUGGAUCCCCCAACUCAUCAUUUGCUUCAUUCAGCAGCACAUGUCACCUCUCAUCGUGCAAAUCAACCAUCUGCGCUUUCGAAGAGUUCCCCUGGUGUGGGUGGCAGCAGGGCCAGAGGAAGCCCAUUUUUCCUUUGUGCACCCGAACAGUCCACCUACACAUGGCUUCCUCCCUGUAACAAAGCUCCCCAGCUUCAGUGGUGGCCUGGGGAGUGGGUAGGGUGUCUCCCGAUUUCCCUUCCUCCUCCUCGCAGGACUCCAUCUGUUGAGGAGGAUUGAGAAGAUGGGUACACGGGCAGCCUUCACUCCCAGCUGCUCUUCACAAUGGAACCACCACAGGUCAGGCCUCACGAUCACUGCCGUCACAGCUCUAAGUCACCUGGGCUCCUGCCUCUGCCUGCAACCAGGAAAUCCAUCACCCCCUCCUCGAGAGGAUGCCUCCACCCUCAGGGUAACCCAGUCAGACCCCUUGGCUGCCUCAUGCCUGUAAUCCCAGGGCUUUGGGAGACUGAGGCAGGGGGACCAUUUGAGGCCAGGGAUUUGAGGGUUCACUGAGCUCUGAUCACACCAACGCACUCCAGCAAGACCUUAUCUCUAAAAGAAAGAGAAAGAGGAGGAGAAGAAGGAGAAGGAAAGGAAGGAGGAGGAGGAGGAGAGAAGAAAGAAGGAAAAAGAAGAAGGAAGAAGAAGAAGAAAAGAAAGAAGGAGAAGAAGAAGAGAGAAACAACAACAGCAACUUUGUUGCUUCUGACCAACAAGAUUCGGUUUAGGGACAAGAGAUGUUUUUUCCAUGUUGGGCACCAGGGAGAAGACAGCAGGAGAGAACAAACACCCAGAAACCAAAGGAAACACUCUGUAAGCCCCAGAAGCAGGCAGAGGGUGAGGCAGGUGCACAGGCCUGAGCCUUCACCCUCCCAAGGAGGGCACUGUGAACUGGCAUCACUGGUGGGCUGGUGAUCCCCAAGACGGACCUGCACCCCAGCCAUCCCCACCUAUGAGCCCUUAUGGACUGAGGGGAGUUACAUGAAUAGAAUGCAUGGAGCACCUGCAUUCGCCAAGUCACAGAGGAGCUUUUGGGUGGGGAGAAUGUUUGACAUUUGGAGAAUGAGAGGCACGUUAGAGCGUGGACUUUGGUCGCUCCUGACUUUGCGGCCUUCCCUGCUGAGUCAGCUGGUCCUCGGACUCCAUAGGGACAGGGUGGUAAGGGUGGCCAUGAGAUCUUUCUGCAGACAAAGGUAGUUUCUCCUUGAUGACAUAAAACACAGACACACAGGAUUCCUUUGGUGUCGCGGUGUCGAGAAUAUCUUUUGCAAAGGAUCAAUGAAACGCAGGAGCAUGUCCUAUAGA